CUGAUCUACCAGUACAAAAGCUGGUAUAUACCCAUAAGACGAGAAGACCCUGCGGAGCUUUAAGCUUCAGUGCUACACCAACCAAACUAAGCCCUAUCAGGGCCCAUAAUAACCAUAUAGCACUACACUUUAAGUUGGGGCAACUGCGGAGAAAAACAAAACCUCCAUGAAAACAGGCUGCAAGCCACCAUAAAACAUACCAGUUAUCAGGUUAAAAAUUUGACCCAGCAAUGCUGAUCACCGAACCAAGUUACCCCAGGGAUAACAGCGCCAUCCCCCUCAAGAGUUCAUAUCGCCAGGGGGGUUUACGACCUCGAUGUUGGAUCAGGACACCCAGAUGGUGUAGCCGCUAUCAAUGGUUCGUUUGUUCAACGAUUAAUGUCCUACGUGAU
RNAcentral lists this ribosomal RNA (392 nucleotides) under Afroedura bogerti (Bogert's rock gecko). RNAcentral's name for it is "partial 16S ribosomal RNA". It matches the Rfam family "Bacterial large subunit ribosomal RNA", at positions 2042 to 2604 of the family's 2925-position model. The record is from RNAcentral. Lineage: Eukaryota; Metazoa; Chordata; Lepidosauria; Squamata; Gekkonidae.